This 253-nucleotide ribosomal RNA is filed under the name uncultured bacterium. Its description in RNAcentral is "partial 16S ribosomal RNA". It matches the Rfam family "Bacterial small subunit ribosomal RNA", at positions 524 to 776 of the family's 1533-position model. The record is from RNAcentral.
UACGUAGGGGGCAAGCGUUGUCCGGAUUUAUUGGGCGUAAAGAGCGUGUAGGCGGCCAGGUAGGUCUGGUGUGAAAACUCGAGGCUUAACCUCGAGAUGUCAUCGGAAACCAUCUGGCUAGAGUCCGGAAGAGGAGAGUGGAAUUCCUGGUGUAGCGGCGAAAUGCGCAGAUAUCAGGAAGAACACCUAUGGCGAAGGCAGCUCUCUGGGACGGUACUGACGCUGAGACGCGAAAGCGUGGGGAGCGAACAGG